Non-coding RNA from Pelobates cultripes (western spadefoot toad), 1572 nucleotides. Lineage: Eukaryota; Metazoa; Chordata; Amphibia; Anura; Pelobatidae. The record is from the annotation of a GenBank genome assembly.
UGCCGCUUUAAGUAAUAGCAGAGGAGUAUUAAAGGAAUAGAUGCUCUAUAUGUCAAAAGAGGGAAGCGGAUGGAGAGAUGCGAACAGGGAACAAAGGAAAAUAAUUAAAGGAAUUAUGCGGCUUGGUCAUCUUUAUGUCUCUAAUGAGAUAUAGAUUUCGUAUGAAAAAUAUCAUGCGAAAUAAGAUCUUGAUAAUAACUCACCUGAUUCGUGUCUAGUAAGAAAGGAAUAUGAGAUCCUGGAAGGUUCUCAUUAUGAGUAGGUGGAAAGCAUAGUUAGAUAUGUUUGUAUUAAUUAUUAUUUGAAUGGCGACAUAGAGUGGAAAACAGGAGAUCAGGACUAUGGUUAAAUUGGUGUCUGUAAACGUGCAGGGUCUUAAUAUACCAGUUAAGAGGAUAACGGUGCUGAACUAUUUAAGAAAAGUACAUGCUGAUAUAUGUUUCCUUCAGGAGCUCCAUUGGUGAACGAAAGAUAAACGUCAAUGGAACCCUAUGGGUUUCCCUUUAGUGAUACAUGCCUCAAGAAUUGACAAUAAAAAGAAAUGUGGAGUGGCCAUAUUGUGUUCUAGUGCUAUCCAGGUAGAAAUGUUAUAUUAAUUCCUGGACAAAGAUGGCCAAUAUAUGAUAUUGGUAACUAAAGUAGACAACAUUAAGUAUAUCUGGGUAAAUAUAUAUCUCCCGAAUGUUGCACCAAAUACCUUAUUAAGGGAAAUUCUGGAAAGCGUGGAGGAGGUAAAGGAGGGUACUCUUGUAUUAGCAGGCAAUUUUAACUCAAUUAUAGAUCCAAUACAAGAUAAAAAAGUUCCAGAAGGCGCUUCUAUUAGCAGACAUUCUGUAAAACAAGCAAAAUCACUAAUGAAUAUUCUAAAUCUAAAUAACCUAUUCGAUAUUUGGAGGGUGUUCCAUCCGGAGUAAAUGGAAUAUACUCAUCUUUCCAGGGUUCACCACUCUCUAUCAAGAAUAGAUAUGAUAUGGGGUUGUUAUGGACAGAUGAAUUAAAAUAAAAUGGCUAUUUACUGAUGUCUAUUUAUUCUCUGUUCACUAUGUUAAAACUGGCUUGUAGAGUAAAUAUUCCCUUCCCCCCCUACAAUGUGUUCAGUUGCUGUUUACUAUGUAAAUUCUUCAUCCUGAUAAGCAUCCCCCUUCAAAUCAAGCAAACCUUGUGUAACCAAAAUUCCUGUGAUAACAGCUCCCUUUACUAACUCCUCCCCCACUACCUUUGUGCCAGUUAACAGCUAUAUGCCACGUAUAACAAAAUGGAGAAUCACUGUUAAAGUAAACUCAAAGAAACUACUCACUCCCCCUCCCAUCGUGUAUCCAGAAGUCUGUAGAAAAGACCCCCCUUAGACUGUUAACCAAUUGGUGAAUGUAUACUGUAUGUUUAAACUGUGACGUAUUUUUGCUUUAAGAAGGAGCCCCCACUCCGGGGAAUAAAGCAUUCCUGGGUUUUUCACUGAUCAGAAACUUUGUCUCCGGUGUGAAUUACUUCUAGGGAAAGCGUGCACGCAUUAAUCAAUCAAUUUGGAAGGUGUAGAUAGACAAAUUAUCAAAGUUUUCUUUGAUCUAAAACAGG